Molecule: long non-coding RNA, 339 nt
Filed under: Homo sapiens (human)
Lineage: Eukaryota; Metazoa; Chordata; Mammalia; Primates; Hominidae
Description: HSALNT0391004
Source: RNAcentral
GAAAUGGCUGCAGGUGAAGGCUUGCAAGAAAACGCGGUGGAGAGGAACUGUACUCAAGGAGCUCUGCUUAAGGAGUUUUACCCGAGGAGCCUCAUCUGCACCUGGACUUCAAGCUGAUGCUGUAAAGAGGGGAGACUUUUGGUGACUUUGGGAAGAAUGGAGAAGCAAGCUGCGUUGUUGUGUGCAGCUCUGAGGAGAAGCCCACCUGGCAGAAGGAAACUGUGUCCUGGCCACAACCGUGUGAGUGAGCUUGGAAGUGAGUGCCUCAGUCCUACGUUAGCCUUGAGAGGCCUGCAGCCCCAGCCCACAUCUUGACUGAAACCUCAUGAGAAACCCUGA